GAACGCUGGCGGCGUGCUUAACACAUGCAAGUCGAGCGGAAAGGCCCUUCGGGGUACUCGAGCGGCGAACGGGUGAGUAACACGUGAGUAACCUGCCCUCAACUUCGGGAUAAGCCUGGGAAACCGGGUCUAAUACCGGAUAGGACCCUGCGUGGCAUCGUGCGGGGUGGAAAGUUUUUUCGGUUGGGGAUGGGCUCGCGGCCUAUCAGCUUGUUGGUGGGGUAGUGGCCUACCAAGGCGACGACGGGUAGCCGGCCUGAGAGGGCGACCGGCCACACUGGGACUGAGACACGGCCCAGACUCCUACGGGAGGCAGCAGUGGGGAAUAUUGCGCAAUGGGCGGAAGCCUGACGCAGCGACGCCGCGUGGGGGAUGACGGCCUUCGGGUUGUAAACCUCUUUCAGCAGGGACGAAGUUGACGUGUACCUGCACAAGAAGCGCCGGCUAACUACGUGCCAGCAGCCGCGGUAAUACGUAGGGCGCAAGCGUUGUCCGGAAUUAUUGGGCGUAAAGAGCUCGUAGGUGGCUUG
This 530-nucleotide ribosomal RNA is filed under the name Sphaerisporangium krabiense. RNAcentral's name for it is "bacterial SSU rRNA". It matches the Rfam family "Bacterial small subunit ribosomal RNA", at positions 31 to 582 of the family's 1533-position model. Lineage: Bacteria; Bacillati; Actinomycetota; Actinomycetes; Streptosporangiales; Streptosporangiaceae. The record is from RNAcentral.